This 319-nucleotide unclassified non-coding RNA is filed under the name Hevea brasiliensis (rubber tree). Lineage: Eukaryota; Viridiplantae; Streptophyta; Magnoliopsida; Malpighiales; Euphorbiaceae. The record is from RNAcentral.
GAACAGUCAUACUCCACUACCCAACAACUCAUGCAACUCUCUCACUUAUAACUUCUACAUUAGCCUUAUCAAGUUGAUACUAAAUACUAUAAUUAUAAUCCUCUAAUAAUUCUACCCCUGCGUUCAGAUUGAAUUAAUAGUCAAGUUUAGGUCAAAAAAUACCACCUCUACUGUAGCCUCGCUACCAGGGCUGACGGAGGACUCUCCAACAUAAUCUAGAUCCCAAAAUAUCAGAGAAUUGUUGAAAACAAAUAAUUGCCAAUUCCCAAAUUUUGAAAAAAUGUAGAAAUUGAAGAACUUGGUAUGCGAAAACAGAAUG